UACGAAGGGGGCUAGCGUUGCUCGGAAUCACUGGGCGUAAAGGGUGCGUAGGCGGGUCUUUAAGUCAGAGGUGAAAUCCUGGAACUCAACUCCAGAACUGCCUUUGAUACUGAGGAUCUUGAGUUCGGGAGAGGUGAGUGGAACUGCGAGUGUAGAGGUGAAAUUCGUAGAUAUUCGCAAGAACACCAGUGGCGAAGGCGGCUCACUGGCCCGAUACUGACGCUGAGGCACGAAAGCGUGGGGAGCAAACAGG
Molecule: ribosomal RNA, 253 nt
Filed under: uncultured bacterium
Lineage: Bacteria
Description: partial 16S ribosomal RNA
Rfam family: Bacterial small subunit ribosomal RNA
Source: RNAcentral